This 2902-nucleotide ribosomal RNA is filed under the name Escherichia coli HVH 118 (4-7345399). RNAcentral's name for it is "bacterial LSU rRNA". It matches the Rfam family "Bacterial large subunit ribosomal RNA". The record is from RNAcentral. Lineage: Bacteria; Pseudomonadati; Pseudomonadota; Gammaproteobacteria; Enterobacterales; Enterobacteriaceae.
UUAAGCGACUAAGCGUACACGGUGGAUGCCUUGGCAGUCAGAGGCGAUGAAGGACGUGCUAAUCUGCGAUAAGCGUCGGUGAGGUGAUAUGAACCGUUAUAACCGGCGAUUUCCGAAUGGGGAAACCCAGUGUGUUUCGACACACUAUCAUUAACUGAAUCCAUAGGUUAAUGAGGCGAACCGGGGGAACUGAAACAUCUAAGUACCCCGAGGAAAAGAAAUCAACCGAGAUUCCCCCAGUAGCGGCGAGCGAACGGGGAGGAGCCCAGAGCCUGAAUCAGUGUGUGUGUUAGUGGAAGCGUCUGGAAAGGCGUGCGAUACAGGGUGACAGCCCCGUACACAAAAAUGCACAUAUUGUGAGCUCGAUGAGUAGGGCGGGACACGUGGUAUCCUGUCUGAAUAUGGGGGGACCAUCCUCCAAGGCUAAAUACUCCUGACUGACCGAUAGUGAACCAGUACCGUGAGGGAAAGGCGAAAAGAACCCCGGCGAGGGGAGUGAAAAAGAACCUGAAACCGUGUACGUACAAGCAGUGGGAGCCUCUUUAUGGGGUGACUGCGUACCUUUUGUAUAAUGGGUCAGCGACUUAUAUUCUGUAGCAAGGUUAACCGAAUAGGGGAGCCGAAGGGAAACCGAGUCUUAACUGGGCGUUAAGUUGCAGGGUAUAGACCCGAAACCCGGUGAUCUAGCCAUGGGCAGGUUGAAGGUUGGGUAACACUAACUGGAGGACCGAACCGACUAAUGUUGAAAAAUUAGCGGAUGACUUGUGGCUGGGGGUGAAAGGCCAAUCAAACCGGGAGAUAGCUGGUUCUCCCCGAAAGCUAUUUAGGUAGCGCCUCGUGAAUUCAUCUCCGGGGGUAGAGCACUGUUUCGGCAAGGGGGUCAUCCCGACUUACCAACCCGAUGCAAACUGCGAAUACCGGAGAAUGUUAUCACGGGAGACACACGGCGGGUGCUAACGUCCGUCGUGAAGAGGGAAACAACCCAGACCGCCAGCUAAGGUCCCAAAGUCAUGGUUAAGUGGGAAACGAUGUGGGAAGGCCCAGACAGCCAGGAUGUUGGCUUAGAAGCAGCCAUCAUUUAAAGAAAGCGUAAUAGCUCACUGGUCGAGUCGGCCUGCGCGGAAGAUGUAACGGGGCUAAACCAUGCACCGAAGCUGCGGCAGCGACACUAUGUGUUGUUGGGUAGGGGAGCGUUCUGUAAGCCUGUGAAGGUGGCCUGUGAGGGUUGCUGGAGGUAUCAGAAGUGCGAAUGCUGACAUAAGUAACGAUAAAGCGGGUGAAAAGCCCGCUCGCCGGAAGACCAAGGGUUCCUGUCCAACGUUAAUCGGGGCAGGGUGAGUCGACCCCUAAGGCGAGGCCGAAAGGCGUAGUCGAUGGGAAACAGGUUAAUAUUCCUGUACUUGGUGUUACUGCGAAGGGGGGACGGAGAAGGCUAUGUUGGCCGGGCGACGGUUGUCCCGGUUUAAGCGUGUAGGCUGGUUUUCCAGGCAAAUCCGGAAAACCAAGGCUGAGGCGUGAUGACGAGGCACUACGGUGCUGAAGCGACAAAUGCCCUGCUUCCAGGAAAAGCCUCUAAGCAUCAGGUAACAUCAAAUCGUACCCCAAACCGACACAGGUGGUCAGGUAGAGAAUACCAAGGCGCUUGAGAGAACUCGGGUGAAGGAACUAGGCAAAAUGGUGCCGUAACUUCGGGAGAAGGCACGCUGAUAUGUAGGUGAAGCGACUUGCUCGUGGAGCUGAAAUCAGUCGAAGAUACCAGCUGGCUGCAACUGUUUAUUAAAAACACAGCACUGUGCAAACACGAAAGUGGACGUAUACGGUGUGACGCCUGCCCGGUGCCGGAAGGUUAAUUGAUGGGGUUAGCGGUAACGCGAAGCUCUUGAUCGAAGCCCCGGUAAACGGCGGCCGUAACUAUAACGGUCCUAAGGUAGCGAAAUUCCUUGUCGGGUAAGUUCCGACCUGCACGAAUGGCGUAAUGAUGGCCAGGCUGUCUCCACCCGAGACUCAGUGAAAUUGAACUCGCUGUGAAGAUGCAGUGUACCCGCGGCAAGACGGAAAGACCCCGUGAACCUUUACUAUAGCUUGACACUGAACAUUGAGCCUUGAUGUGUAGGAUAGGUGGGAGGCUUUGAAGUGUGGACGCCAGUCUGCAUGGAGCCGACCUUGAAAUACCACCCUUUAAUGUUUGAUGUUCUAACGUUGGCCCGUAAUCCGGGUUGCGGACAGUGUCUGGUGGGUAGUUUGACUGGGGCGGUCUCCUCCUAAAGAGUAACGGAGGAGCACGAAGGUUGGCUAAUCCUGGUCGGACAUCAGGAGGUUAGUGCAAUGGCAUAAGCCAGCUUGACUGCGAGCGUGACGGCGCGAGCAGGUGCGAAAGCAGGUCAUAGUGAUCCGGUGGUUCUGAAUGGAAGGGCCAUCGCUCAACGGAUAAAAGGUACUCCGGGGAUAACAGGCUGAUACCGCCCAAGAGUUCAUAUCGACGGCGGUGUUUGGCACCUCGAUGUCGGCUCAUCACAUCCUGGGGCUGAAGUAGGUCCCAAGGGUAUGGCUGUUCGCCAUUUAAAGUGGUACGCGAGCUGGGUUUAGAACGUCGUGAGACAGUUCGGUCCCUAUCUGCCGUGGGCGCUGGAGAACUGAGGGGGGCUGCUCCUAGUACGAGAGGACCGGAGUGGACGCAUCACUGGUGUUCGGGUUGUCAUGCCAAUGGCACUGCCCGGUAGCUAAAUGCGGAAGAGAUAAGUGCUGAAAGCAUCUAAGCACGAAACUUGCCCCGAGAUGAGUUCUCCCUGAGACCUAGAGUCUCCUGAAGGAACGUUGAAGACGACGACGUUGAUAGGCCGGGUGUGUAAGCGCAGCGAUGCGUUGAGCUAACCGGUACUAAUGAACCGUGAGGCUUAACCUU